AAAAAUGAGAACAAUGAUUUAGUUCCUAGUCAGCAAUGGAGAGACAGAUGUUCCCACAUAUUAGGAAAGACAAAGAAAAAUCUUUCUGAUGUAUUUCUUAAUUGUUGCUGCUCUCCCAGAAGAUGGUUAUCAGUCAUUCCUUGAGAUGUGCCGAAAAUAUGAAAAAGGUCUUCUGAAAGACCAGCGAGCAAUGGCAAAGGACCUACAAGAAAAGCCGAGGUUCAAGCCAUCAUACAUCAAAUGCUUAUUUGGCCUCGACGUUUCAGAUCGUGUUGCUCUGUUGGGUCAGGUUGCUGACCAAAGUAACAGUCUGGAUGAACUGAAAUUAGUGUGCAAGGAGUGCAAA
Long non-coding RNA from Dendronephthya gigantea, 346 nucleotides. RefSeq lists it as uncharacterized. The record is from RefSeq and is a predicted model, not a curated record. Lineage: Eukaryota; Metazoa; Cnidaria; Anthozoa; Malacalcyonacea; Nephtheidae. The transcript is spliced from 3 exons.